UGGCGGCAUUAUUGCCCGGUGCAUGGGUUAACACGCUUUCGAUUGUCUCACCCGCAAGCACUGUGGCAUUUAAGG
Molecule: transfer RNA, 75 nt
Filed under: Shewanella putrefaciens
Lineage: Bacteria; Pseudomonadati; Pseudomonadota; Gammaproteobacteria; Alteromonadales; Shewanellaceae
Description: tRNA-Thr
Source: RNAcentral